Molecule: ribosomal RNA, 253 nt
Filed under: uncultured bacterium
Lineage: Bacteria
Description: partial 16S ribosomal RNA
Rfam family: Bacterial small subunit ribosomal RNA
Source: RNAcentral
GACGUAGGGCGCGAGCGUUGUCCGGAUUUAUUGGGCGUAAAGAGCUCGUAGGCGGUUUGUCGCGUCGUUCGUGAAAACUCACAGCUUAACUGUGAGCUUGCGGUCGAUACGGGCAGGCUAGAGUUCGGUAGGGGAGACUGGAAUUCCUGGUGUAGCGGUGAAAUGCGCAGAUAUCCGGAGGAACACCGGUGGCGAAGGCGGCUUCCUGGACCGACACUGACGCUGAGGCGCGAAAGCUAGGGGAGCAAACGGG